Molecule: ribosomal RNA, 506 nt
Filed under: uncultured bacterium
Lineage: Bacteria
Description: partial 16S ribosomal RNA
Rfam family: Bacterial small subunit ribosomal RNA
Source: RNAcentral
GAUGAACGCUAGCUACAGGCUUAACACAUGCAAGUCGAGGGGUAACGAGAGGAAAGCUUGCUUUCCUUGUUGACGACCGGCGCACGGGUGAGUAACGCGUAUCCAACCUGCCCCCAACUAGGGAAUAACCUUGCGAAAGUAAGACUAAUACCCUAUAAUUUCCUCAGAUGUCAUCUGACGAGGAAUAAAGAUUUAUCGGCUGCGGAGGGGGAUGCAUCUGAUUAGCUUGUUGGCGGGGUAACGGCCCACCAAGGCAACGAUCAGUAGGGGUUCUGAGAGGAAGGUCCCCCACAUUGGAACUGAGACACGGUCCAAACGCCUACGGGAGGCAGUAGUGAGGAAUAUUGGUCAAUGGGCGGAAGCCUGAACCAGCCAAGUAGCGUGCAGGAUGACGGCCCUAUGGGUUGUAAACUGCUUUUAUACAGGAAUAAAGUUAGCCACGUGUGGUUAUUUGUAGGUACUGUAUGAAUAAGGACCGGCUAAUUCCGUGCCAGCCGCCGCCGUAA